UACUGAGCAAGCAGUUAUAAAAUGUCAAUAUAAACAAAUCCCAAAUCGUCCAAAAGGACAUUUUUAUAAAACCCGUCAGUUUUAUUUGAGGUGUCAGGAUAAACGCAGGCUAAUUGGAGCUGUUUUAAAAUAAAUAUUUGAUUUAUUUAUUUAUUUUAUAUCUGCCGCUGCUGUCCCACACUUCCUGUUCAGUUUUGUAACGAUGUGAUAACAACUUAUGCAAGUUCAGCGUGAGAAUCAAUUGGAGCAAAGAGCGCAGAGGUGAGCAGCUUCAGUCUUUACUGAUCCACUUUAACACAACAUCAUGUUUAAUGCGUUCAGCCUGAUUAAAAAUAAUCCGUGUCUGAGGGUGAUGACUCGACAGGUCACAGGUCAUCUCCCCUGAGCCAAGAUGUCUGCGAUGCGGCGGUCAGUGAGCGAAGCAUUCUGGGCGAUGUGUGCAGCAGACUCCAUGUCUAUGCCGGUCCACUGGUACUAUGACAUCAACGACAUCAGGAGGGACUUCGGUGGCUGGAUAUCAGGCUUCAACUCGCCUCCUGAGCGUCACCCGUCCAGUAUCCUCACCCUCUCCAACACAGCUGGCAGUGGUCGCACCAACUGGUCUUCUGGUGCGAAGCGAGCCAAUGUGGUCGGCAGCGUCAUUCUCCAUGAUAAGCUGGAGUUGUGGAACUCCUCAAGUGGAUCGAUCCACUAUCACCGAGGUCUUCAGGCAGGUGACAACACGCUGAACAUCCUCUGCUCCCUUCGAGUGGCUCGGACACUUGUCUCCAGAGGUUUUGUGGACGUCUCUCAGCCGGAUGCUCGAGCUGCUGUUCUGUCAGACUACGUCCACUUCCUGACCACACCCGGUUCACACAAGGACACCUACGCUGAAUCCUUCCACCGCUCAUUCUUUGCUGACUGGCAGGAGAGCAAACCGACCUCGCCACAUGAAGUUCUGAAGUUUGCAGAGGAACGCUCCGGGAUGAAAACGAGCUCUCCGUUCCCUGACUGCCAGCUAGAUGCCAUUGGCUGCCUUCCCAUGAUCCUUCCUUUCAUCCUUCUGUCUGCCUCAGCCAAUGAGGAGCGAGCCGUUUCAGCAGCGGUGGAGUUCGUAAAGCUCACCCAUCCUCACCCCAACGUGCCCGAGUACGUGACGAUCUACAGCCGGGCACUGCACGCGGUACUGGGCGGGGCCAGUGUCCGUGAGCAGGCUGAGCAAGCUCUGAGGAGACUGGAUGCCUGGGACGCCUGCCAGAGCUUCAGUCGCAAGGCGGCCAAGUUUUCUGUGUCCUCUGAGGAGAGACUGAAGGUCCAUCAGAGCGCUGUGAACUACCUUGGUAUGGCCUGCUACAACAAAGGUGCUCUGUCCAGCCUGUUCUACCUGGCCCACGAGUUUCAUGAUGACCCCAAAGGAGGAAUCCUGGCAAACACCAACUGUGGAGGUGAGAACUGUAACCGUGGAGCAGCGCUCGGGGCCUUGCUGGGGGCCGGAGGCGCCCACACAGGAAAUUGCAUCCUACAGGAGUGGAAGGAUGACCUAAGAGAUGCUCAGGAAUUUAUCCCUGACAUCCUGAAGGACAUUGUUUAAGAAGAUCAUUGACCCCUGGAGGAAAGAAGAGGAACAGAAAUCGCACAGCACUGUAACUUUAAAAACUCCACCGCUUCCUGUUUACAAACUUGAUGACUCCACAUUCAAACUUUUUAUUUUUAAAGAAUAAACUCUUUAUCACAUGUGUUUUAUUUUUAUGGGAAAAAAAGAGCAAACUUGAACUUGAAAUGUAGCAAUGAACUGUUUACGUUACAUAUUUAUUAUUUGCCUUGCCAUCAUUUCACCUGCAGCCUUUAAAUGAUCAAAUCAAAAAAUAUGUGCUUUUGCUCACAUGGAAAAAAUAAACUAAAUGAUUCAAUGAGUGUGAUUUUUGAUUUAAUAAAAGAAUGUAAUAUAUGUACUGGCUUGUAUAAUAACUCUAUGGACCUUUUUAAAAUUUUAUCCUCAGUAAGAAAAGUAAGUAAAUAUAACUGAUAGUUAACAGUUUUAUUAAUUAAUAUCAGGCUUAGAUAUGGGUUUAUGCUUUAAAUCAAAUGUAAAAAUAAUAUCGAUGUAAGAUGUUC
Astatotilapia calliptera (eastern happy) is the source of this 2094-nucleotide long non-coding RNA. The record is from Ensembl. Lineage: Eukaryota; Metazoa; Chordata; Actinopteri; Cichliformes; Cichlidae.